Molecule: RNA transcript, 11960 nt
Organism: Pseudopipra pipra
Lineage: Eukaryota; Metazoa; Chordata; Aves; Passeriformes; Pipridae
Gene: PLEKHM3
Gene name: pleckstrin homology domain containing M3
Exons: 11
Source: RefSeq, a predicted model, not a curated record
GGACAAAUAGGGCACAGUUUGUUCAAUCGUACAACUGGCUCCAUGCACUCUGUUCAGUGCGGGGUCAGGUGCUGAUGGUUUGUGAACAAGGAGGACAAAGCUGGAAGUCAAGCUGUAUGGAAGAUUCUGAUAGAUAGCCACCACCAUGUCUUUAACCAAUAUAUCUUGCUGGAAACAGCUCAUGAUUUCUGUAGGACAGAGAUAUACUUAAGCAAUGAAAAUUGCAAAAUCUGGAACUUGCAUUCUUGAAGAUGUCUAUAUAUAUUUGUAGAUAUAUAGAUAUAAAUAACAACAAAAAAAUCAAAGUGAAAUUUCUUCAGAAUUAGAGAGUGUUAUCUAACUUUGAAGGAUAAUGUUGGUCAUUGUUUUUUUUUUAAUUGGCACACAGACUACAGGAAGAGAAAUCUGUACCAGAUUAGAAGGAGGAAAUGUAGUUACCUGUUCUCAGAUUUGGUUGUUUUAGGCUGUGGUAGAGGGAUAUAUGGUGGAUCACAGAUAUAUAAAUAUGACUUAGAAAGGGGAUGGAAUCUCUUCCUCUUGUCAAUAAAAUGGUGGCAAUUGUUUAUAAAGCGCUUCUCAGACAGAAUGGAAAAUUAAGAAUUUGAACCCAAAGUGUUCUCCAGCAGCUGUUGUAAGAAAGGUGCUUGUUAAUUGCAUUUUGCCUAGGAAAUAGAAAGUGUUACCCAUCCCAAUACCUUUGCAAAGGGUUUCCAGCACUUAAGAACAGAAAUAGGAAUAUCUAGAGCUGGCAAAAGUGCUCUUUAGGGGGCUGAGAAGGACAAAAUUGAGAGACUAGUAUCAACCAUUUUCUCUGUGUGUUCCCCUCCUUUCUUGGGGAAACACCGUGUUCCUUACAGACCUGAGAGUUGUGGGGCAGGGGGAGUUGCACAGUGGACACCAUUGUAAUGCCUGGAUGUGUUUGGCAAAUGGGGUCCCAAGGAACCCAGUGGGAGAUACUAGGGCUGUAGGAAAGAGAGGGGUCAGGAGUAGUGCCUGACUGCACUGAAAGUCUGGGGCUUGACUUGGCUACCAAGACAACUGAGAUUGUUCUGGGUCCAGCAUACAUGGUUGCUGUCCUUCCAGAUAUGGCUGUCAAGUGACUCUGGGAGUCUGUUUUUGAGCAGAAAAGAGAGUGAUCUUGAAGAAGGCUUCUCUGCUGUCCUCCCCUAAAAACCAAUGACAUCUAUGCUUUUCUGUAGCAUGAAAUUACUUUUUCACUACAGGUGAAAAAUGAUAUAUGGGCCGCUUCCCAGAAAACUCUCUGAGUGUAAUGUUAAACAGAGGCACUUUCUCUCCAACACAACAGUGAAAUCAGAACCUAGGGAAGGAUGUAUUUCUGUACAGCACACACUUCCUGCCUGCUCUCCUCCUCUGACAUUUGUGUCCCCACAGGGGAUGGACCAGCGCACCCUCUGCACGAUUUUGUUAGACUGGAAUGGAAGCUUUCAGUUCGUAUCUGGCAGAGAGACAAAGUUCUCAAACAUCAGCAGACCCAAGAGGCCUAGAGAGUCUCUUUCCUUCUGAGGAACCCCCGAGAGAAAUGUCUCAGUAGCAUUUGGGAGAAGGCCGGAUGGUGAUAAGUAACAUGGCAGGUAAUGAUACUGCCUCGUCCUUUGUGGGAUCUCAGUGCAUACAGUUGAAUUGGAAUAAAAAGAUCAAUCCUUGUCUUUUACCCAGUGAAGAAGCCAUUCAUCUUUAGGAGCAGGACUUGAAAUGUGUAGUGGUCUACUAAUAUAUUAUUUGUAAAGGCCAAGAUGAAUUAAUUUUCAAUCAGAUGAACUGGUAUUUUUUUGUUCCAAAGGCUCUCAUUCAUCCUUGCUGUCACUGAAAUGAGAUAACCCAUACAAAUGCAACUUUGUUAAUUGUGCCAGUUGGAUUUAGCAGGAGACACUAAGUGGUUGGUGUGCGAGGACGAGAAGAAAAACUACUGAUGCAAGCUGACCUAACACCUGCCUUUUGCUGUGGAAUGUGAAUCCUCUUCAUGGAUUCAGUUCAGCACCACAUCUUCAUGCAGUUACAUUUCAGCACUAACCUCAUCUCUGCUGCUCAGCACAGCACCGCCAGCUCCCCUGGGAUGCAGCCAGUGAAACACCACUGCGCCCGUGGGUUUAAACGCGUGCACGGUGCUACCCAGGGCUGCUCUGCACGUACCAAACGUCAAAAUUGAGGUACACCUCUCAUCCACACAUGGCUGUUUCUUGCCAUGAGGUUAUUUUUACAGGACCUGUAUUGCCGGGUGGGGUGCCGUGCUACAGACUGAUGAAAUAAGCCAUUUGUAAUUGCCUUGUAAUUCUUUGUUUUCCUUGGGCAACAGGUUCUGCCAGUGAUCCUUUUGCUGCCCCGUGGCGAUGUGGAUCCACACGCCGUGCUGCUCCCCGCAGCCUUCGCGCCUAGGUGCUCUUCAUCGCUAUGAGUUUAAUUCAUAGAGAGGCCGUAGCCCACUUGACCAGUGGAUGUUGGUCUUUCAUCUGAAGACAGGUUGAUUUGGUUACUUCCUACCACCACGGACUGUGGUUGGUGAUUGUAUUUGCCCCACCACCUCCAAGUUAAUGCAGUGCCAAGGACAGAUGUGAAGCAGCUCUUUCUCUCGAUAUUGAUGUGGUAUCCUCUUAACCCAUCACAGCGCCUCGGGCCCACCGGCAGCACAGGAUAUGGAGGCUCUCGAAGUUGAUGACAUCAGCCCUGCCUUGGAAGUGACUGAAGACUUUUUCAACGGUUUUGAUACUAAGCUUGAAAAGAUUGUGCAGCCCUCUGAGGUGUAUGGUGUGCAGGAGGUCCCUGAGCUGGUUGGGCACGAGGUAUUUGAUCAUAUAACAGAGAGCAGGAAUCUGAGGAAUGCUGCCUCCUUAGCCAAAAGUAGCCUCAUCUGGGAUCACUGCAAAAAUGGCCUCUUGGAAACCAAAGCUCAGACAGCAUUUCCUGCCAAAGACCAACACAUGGUGCAGAGGGGAACAACUGCUGACAACCUUGCUUGGGCAGGGGAAGGGGAGACCACAGCUUUUAACAUCUUCAGGAUCUGCCAGCGGAGGAGAGACAGGCCUCGCUCGGUGAAUGACAUCCUGGUACAGAACGAGGAAGCCUCCAGGUUCAAACCAGGACACAACAGGUCACGCUCCGAUAUCAGCCAUGUGAAGUGGGGAGUGGUCUUCACAGGCAUGUCCCUGCAGCAGCCACCUGCACCUGGUCAGGACAAUAACUGCGCUCUGCUCUCUUACCUGGCGUUAACCAAGGGAGAGGACAUCCAAGGAAACACAGAACACAAGCCAGUGUUCCCAAAUCUCCUGAAGAAGGGAUACUUAGAAGUUAGAAGAGACAAUGACAGCUACUGGCAAACCUGUUACGCUGAGCUCUCCCCAUACAAACUGUACCUGUAUUGCUUGGACAGCAGUGGCAACCAGACUCUUCCCACCGUGUAUCCACUCAUGCGUUUUCAAAGGGUCACUGUUACUGGGGGCAUUGAAACCAAGGUGGUGGACACUGUCCUGUCAGACAGCUCACAGCUACAGCUGAAGGCAGAGUCCUCGUGGGAGACACUGGACUGGGGACAGAAACUCUGGGAAGCAGUGCAUGCUUCUGUGCCUGCUUUCACGAGACAGCAGGAGAAACUGGAGAAUAUGCCAAAGCCUGAAAAUAACAGUGACCUUUCUCAAACCAAUGGAUUAUUAGAGAAGCCUAUGGAGCUCUUCCUGUCCAUGAAUUUGACUGAAAACACUAAAGAGUAUCAAAAUAUUCUCAAAUCAGGGACUCUUUACAGGUUAACUGUCCAGAAUAACUGGAAGGCAUUUACUUUUGUCUUGAACAGGUCUUAUCUCAUGGCAUUCCAACCCGGUAGGCUUGAUGAAGAUCCUCUGCUGAGCUACAAUGUCGAUGUGUGCCUGUCGGUGCAGACGGAUACUCAGGAUGACUGUGACUCUUGCUUUCAGGUCAUUUUCCCCCAAGAUGUCCUGCGCCUGCGUGCAGAGACUCGUCAGAGGGCCCAGGAGUGGAUGGAGGCAUUGAAAGCAGCAGCCAAUGCUACUAGAAGUUUAACUCAGAACCCACAGGUCACACUUAGGAACAAACCUGGAGAUCGGCCCUUGGGAAGUGACCUCAGAAAGAGCAAGCGCCAGUCUGUGACCACCAGCUUCCUCAGCAUCCUGACCACACUGUCUCUAGAGAGAGGGCUCACAGUUCAGAGCUUCAAGUGUGCAGGCUGUCAGCGCUCCAUAGGUUUGUCCAAUGGAAAAGCCAAGGUGUGCAGCUACAGUGGAUGGUAUUACUGCAGCACCUGCCACGUGGAUGACAGCUUCCUCAUCCCUGCACGGCUGGUUCAUAACUGGGACACUUCCAAGUACAAGGUAUCAAAGCAAGCCAAAGAGUUCCUGGAAUAUGUUUAUGAGGAGCCAUUGAUUGAUAUCCAGCAGGAAAAUCCCAUGCUGUACAAGCAUGUUGAACCUCUGGCAACUGUUGUCCGGCUGAGACAGCAGCUAAAAUCUCUCCGAGCCUACUUGUUCAGCUGCAGAGCUGCAGUGGCUGAAGAUCUGCGUAGAAGGAUCUUUCCCAGAGAGUAUCUUCUCCAGCAAAUCCAUCUUUACUCUCUUGCAGACCUUCAGCAGGUUAUUGAAGGAAAGCUGGCUCCUUUCUUGGGGAAGGUGAUCAAGUUUGCCACCUCUCAUGUGUACAGCUGCAGCCUUUGUAGCCAAAAGGGUUUCAUCUGUGAGAUUUGCAACAAUGGAGAAAUCCUUUACCCCUUUGAGGACAUUUCUACAAGCAGGAACCUUUGGACUUCAUCCCUGUGAUGAAAUCAGCUACAAGCAGGGAGUUAAUGUUUGAUGAAGAUCACACAAGCUGCACAAGGAAACCAUGUGCAAGGCCUUCUCUUCCUCCUUAUUUGCUUUACAAGGAACCACUGCAUCCCAGCUGAAAAUGCCUCAACAGGUGGAAGGUAUAUCUGCAAGGACACACCUAUUGUCAGCCCUUGCCCGUAUCCUCUGGGCUGGAGCCAGGAUCAGGGAUUAGCUGAACUCCCAAGCAGACCUGUCUAGUAUGGUGGAGCUUCAUGGACACUUCUGCACAUGGAUUUAAAGGUAAAAAGAGGAGACAUCAAAAAGAGCAAGAUGUAUACUCCAGCACUCCUUUCUUUGCUGACCCCACUUCAGCCAUCUCAGAGUUAUUUGCAGCAAUUCUUCAAGUAUGUUCCUCAGAUAGAUGAGCACUCCAGGCCAGAUUGAGUGAAGAUGUACAUUGUAUAAAAUCACUAAUUAUGCUUUCCUGAAAGCAGGGCUGGCACAGUCCUGCAUUUUGAGACAAAGAACUCCCAGGCAAGGGUGCCUUGCUGUUCUGCUCUUCUCAAGCUCCUUCAGCAAAUAUAUAUUAUGGAACAAGCAGUUUUUGAUGGGACAAGUAAUUAAGCAUUACAUAUACAUAUAUAGAAAAGGUAAGUUCUUUUUUAGUUAAUCAAUUUGUGACUACUUAGAAAUCUCUAAUGAACCCACUUGUUCUGUGUCUUCAUUAACAGGGUUUCAUGAGAUACUGUAACUAUUUAAAAGUCAGCCCAGUUCACUUAUUGAGGAGGGAGGGAAAGUGUUCCAAAAGCUCAAGUUUCAGAAAUGAGGCAUCUCUUACCAGUGUCACUAUUGCACAUUCAGCUGUCAGCUGUGCAGCACUGAAAAGUGUCCGGACAAACCGGUAUAUGUGCUUGUGAUCAGGGUCAUGCUUGUAGUAGUCAUCUGGAACUUCUUCCCGCUGAAAGAAAGUUCUCUGAAUUACUGAAAAUCUGUCUUAUUUAAUACUGACCCUAAAGAACAGCCACACAUGGUUAUUUCUUCUCACCAAAGUGUAUACAACCCUUUUCUGUCACAGAGACAGAACAAAAUUAUACUGAAAGAAGCCGCCCUGCGAUAUCACAAAUAUUCCAAACAAAACACAAUAGCUGUAGCUGGUAUCUUUGUUUUGAACAUUUUUUUGAUCUGUAAGGCUAAUGGGAAAGAGCAUGAACUACCAUCAUUAUUGCAGGUGCUUACUAUUGUCCAUAGAACAUUUUACAGACUGAAAGAGAUGUAAAAAAAAAAAAGGAGUCUUCUUCCUGCAAGAAAAUCACAUGUAUAUACACACCAGGGAAACACUGACACUUCAAAAGGCAAUUAAGAGACUUCACAAGAUUCCUCUUCCAGCUGAGGAAGAGCUGAAGAACACAUGGCAAUAAUUCUGUCACAGGUAGAACUGGAAGGUAAUUUACACUGUCUUCAUAGGACUCAUCCUUGAGAGACUCCAGAAAGACAACAAAACUAAUAAACAGGUAGAUUUAACUCUGACACAAUGCUAAACUAUUUCUAAAUACAGGGGAGAAGAAAAGCUCAGAAAUAAACAGUCUGUAAAAGCAAUUCUUAUAUGAGUAUUUGAGAGACACUGUGAUAUUCAGCACUCUUCCUGGAGGGAUGAAACUUCAAGAGCUCCAACUCUGCACACUGGUUCUGCAAGACUGAUACCUGAUUUCUAUCUACAGUCCAAGGUAGAUCUAUAGUAUGGUAAAGACAGUAGCUGAGAACAUCAUACCUGCCUGACAUUAAACAAGUAGCUGUAAGGUAAGCAAAGCAGCAAGCAUUUUCCUGUGUUUUGUAGUUUAAAAAAGCCAGGUAGCAGUGUCAAGUAAAAUGCAGAGGUAAGUUAACUUUGUACUCUCCACACAGCCUUCAAAUACACCACUAACCAGUGGCGGUUACCUCUGCAGGGUGGGCAUGCAACAUUAGGAAUAACAUGAGCAGGACCCCUCCUGCGCUACAAGCAGUACAAAAGCACAUCUGGAAGUACAGUUCUGCUGACUGGAACUGAGGAGGAAGGCACUGAGACUGGUAUUUGUGACUAAACCCCAUGAUACUGGUAACUGGGUCACAUUAGGGUCAACAGAGCCUGGAUUUGAACUCCUUGUGACUGCAUCUUUGGAAGACAAGGUGUUCAGAGAUUUCUUCCAGCUAAUUAACCUUUUUAAAGGAACAGUAGGUACCCAGGCAGAACGCCAUUGCUAUAGAAACUAACAAGCCAUCUGUGCCUUUCCCCUCAGAAGUAUGACAAUCAGCCAUAACUCUAUUUCUGUCUGUAUGCUGCACCAAGAUAAAAAAGACCUUUAAGUGUUCCCUAAAGGACACAAUGAUUUUCCUCUCAUUAAAUAGGAGCUAGGCUAUAUGAAAAGAUCAAAGGAUGUCAGGUUGUUAAAUAAAGAAAUUGUCUGAUGAAGUGGAGUUCAUCUUACAUAAAUAAUUUUCAAUGGAAAACAACAGAUUUGGGCAUUUAAAAUAGUUCUGGACCACACUUUUCCUUUUGAAGUGCUACAGUCCAUACAAGAAAUCUUCAAUACAGCUCUUGUCCUGAAGUUGUUUGGGGUUUUUUAAAAUACUAAAUUGUUCAUUAGAAAGUGUUUAUAACAAGCCAAAUCCGUGAGAGAGGUUGAACUGCGUUCACUCAGGUAAGUCCCAGAGCAAAUUGAAUUGUUAAAGCCACUAGAGCUUUGCUAAGUUAAUUUCAAAUGAAAAACAAGGGAAGUGGUUCUGUAGGACAGGCAUUAAGCUAGGAGUGCUCAAACUGGAUGUGAAAAGCACACGCUCCAGUCUUGAACUUGCCUGUACUCUGAGGUUUUGCAUCUUAUAGAUUGUCUAAAAAGGUGUAUGUACCAGGAUCAGUCACAUUAAAAUUGCAUGCUGAAUUGCUCCUAGCUGUUAUUGCAAGCAGCCUUAGGCAUAUUUGCUUUAAAAUGUUGCCCUUCAGGUUUUUUAAAGACCAAACUCGCUGUUGCCUACUUCAUGUGAUGCUUCACAUAUUAUGUUCCCCCAUUUGCAGUCAUUAAAAGGGUAGGCACAUACCUACGGACCAUGUCUUCCUAAAUAAAUAGGAGAGACUUGUAAUUAAAGUAGUAUUAAAGAAGGGAAGAAAAGAGAGAGACAAGAAACUUCAGAUAUGGAAUAUGGAAGAACUGGGCACAUGCUGCUUUCUCCUUACAGUCAAAGCAUAGAAAACCAAACUUACUUUGCAGCAUUUAAAAAGACUGGGUUCUGUUUGUGAUUUAGCUGAUAUCAAAAGUCAUUAUUUGCUCUGUAUAUUAUAUAUAAAGGUAAAAUUUAAGAUCAAUUUGAUUGUGACCUGGUGGUAAUACAUUUUUCUGACUUAUACAAUACAAAUCAAGGUGUAUAUUGAUACACAUUCAAAGGAUCAGAAAGUUACACUUACUGUGAGAGGAUGAGAUUUUUCAUCAAAAAUAUCCAAUGAUCUGUCAGAAUCUCUACAAAACAAAAAUCUCUGGUUUAGCAACAAGAGUUAAUUGGUAUUGGUAUGCCCUACUAAAAAUUAUUGUUCUUCCAAGAGGAUAAAGGGACAUAUUUUAUAGUUCAGCUUUUCCUAGAAUGAGAUAUUUUUGCAAAUACCAUAUUUUUGCAAAGCCUUUAAUGAUGAGACCUUACAACUGAAUAUUUAAGAUGCUAAACAAAGAACAGCUAUCCAUGUUCUUGUAUUAUGCUUAGUACAGUUCUCCCUUAAAAUGUGGAACUGUCUCACUAAUAGCAUUUACUUCAAAAAGUCAGCUAUAAUUCUGAAGCAUAUGCUGUAACUAGCUAUAAUGGCAAGGGUUAUAUGUACAUGGGACAGACUUCCUUCACCCAUCAAAACUAAUCUGUACCUCUGUAUUCAGGAAAAGCUAAACAAAGGCCAAAGGCUGAUUUGUUAUGAGUUAAGUGUGUUUUCUUCACUCCCUGUUUUGAUGUCUGGAUGGGUGUAUUACUGACUCUUCCACAGCAGCUCAAGACGGGGGACAAAGAAGAAGCAGAUAUAGCAUAAAGUGCCAGUUUUUUCAGCUCCUUUAAGUUUCACCAGAUCAUAUUUGACUCAAUGAUCUAGGAGGUUUUUUCCAGCCGUAAUGAUUCCACAAUUUUGUAUCCCUGGCUCAAAAAGAAAGUUAUUAUAUUUCACCAAAGGAAGAGUUCACUCACCUGUUCUUUAUAUGGUAGAAUAUUGCUAAUGUUACACUAAAAAAGAGAAAGAAAGAAAAAGAAGAUUUAACAAAGCAUAUUCCAUGCACACUAUUCCACUGCAAAAGCUGUCAUUCAGGGCAAAAUAUUACAAAUCUAUUUUGUACAGGCUUCCUUUCACAUUCUCAAGUACUCCGUGUCUCAUUUCUGAUGUUUAACUGUCUAGAAAGAAACUGGCUAAAUCAAAUUUGCUAGCUAAACUACUUUUACAUUCAUUGUACAGAUAUUUGUGCAACAAAAUAAAUGUUAAGCAACAUUUUAAAUAUAUACUUUCAUUUCCUGAUUAGGUAAUACAAGUGGAAAUGUGGGGUAUUCCCAACUGAAAUAUAAGUUCUACUUGAUGUUACAUAUACUGUUGUAGAGAUUCUCCUGAUGUUUUAACUCUGUAUGCCCGGUUGUGUAAUUUAGGAACUGUCUGAAAAAGAGAAUAAUAAAAAUGAUACUAUGCCAGCAUAAUCCAAGAAGUGGACAAGAUCAGAUUUCAGUCUCUGCUAAGUGAAGCAAUAGGUUUCACAUAUUAAUGCUCAUCUACUGUGGCUAAAUUUCAGGUUUUUUACAACAACAACACUGCCAUCACAGGAAUCUAUCACAAGAAAGCUCUGAUCUGUUGACAACUGUACACCACUUCAAAAUGGCACAAGCAUAAUUUUUUAGGUUUUUGCUUCUCUAGAAAAGAAGUGACACGCUUUGUUUGAAAGUGACGAAUAGACUUAUACAUUUCCAAACUCUACUACACUGUCAAAACAGUGAAAGCCUUCUGGGACUCAAUCUGGUCAGCCCUCCUUUCCCCUCAAGCAUGGUAAACUUUUCUCAACUCUCACCUGGUAUGGUCUAAGUGCUAACAACCCGAAAAAUCAGGUCAAACAGCCAUUUACACUGGAGAAUCAAGGCAGCUACACAGUUAUCACCUACUACAAUAACAAAUACCUCAAGAAAAAGGAGAAAGGCUAGAACUAAAACCCAAGUCAGCAACACAGUUGUUUUUCACAACUAGAGGGCAGACUAACUCCACUGGCAAGUAGCAAACACAGCCCUGCAACUUUUCCUGCAACUCCAUACAAAACCCAUUUCAAGUUUUCCCAGAUGAAGAAUUUCUGGAUUUGGCUUUCAAUGUGAAUUGAACUCCCCCCCUCCACCCAGCACACAAGUGCUGACACACUUCUGCACUACCUCAAGUGGACGAUGAGAACUUCUUUGAAAUACGACAGUACUAAAACAAAAGCUCACUCCAGCAGUCAGAAUUACCAGACCUCUACACCCCUUCCAUGACCGACCUGAAGAAGCAGCGCUGUGCUUCUCUCAGUCAAGUGCACAACUGGUUUUGGAACAGACAGGACACCCAAAAAUCCCAAAUAAACCUUACAGUGCCACUCAGCCCCUCACAGAUGACAAACAGUUCUUACCACUUAAUUGUGCUUCUAAGGUUAGGCUGACUGACAGUGCUGUCAUCUAUAAAUAUUGUUGAGCAUGAACUGUAUUUUUUCGUAAGCUGUCCAGGAGAAACCUUGGGGGAGAAAAGAAAGGAACAAAAGAACUGAAAUACAUUCAAGAAGAGGGAUUCUGUAAGCUUUGGUUUACCACACUGAAUACUGGCUUUACACCUCAAGUGCUUACUGCACAGGGGGUCUUUGUAGAUGACUGCUGCUGCAAUCUAACCUACCCUGUAGCCACCUAGUUCCCUUGUGAAAGAUAGGUUUAUGAAUCAUCCGUUGUAAUAUACAACAUGGUGUUUUUAGAUAAAUAAUUUUCAUUAGAAAUAGCUGCAGCUAAAGCAGUGAGUCCUCUGAUUUUCUCAGUUCUCUUGCAUUCCAUUCUUGUCAGUUUGUGAUUCAGUCUUUCCUCUCUGUGAUGUAGUUAUUAAUCAUCAUCUCCCUUCUUUUAUAUCCUAUACCUUUACAGUUGUGGUUAUCCAGUAUUGCUUCCUGUAAAGACAAUUUUGCACUUGGGGUUUUUGUUAUUAGUUUAGAAGAAAAAGAAACCUCUUCCUGACAUUGCUCACUUCACACACGUCUUGGUUAGCAUCUGGAAUCUGGAAAUAGAGUACUGCUAUUGCCCUGACUUUUACUAUUAUUAUUUUGACCUAGCAAUAUGCUCUAUCAUCCAUCCUGACUCUGAACAUUAUAUACUGUAAGGAAUCUUCCUAUAUAACCCACAGCCAGGCUUCCCUGAGUACUUUUAGAGAAUGCCUUGCACUAGAGAUAGGACAUCAAAACUGAGGGAGGAAUUUUAAUCAAACAGUUCAAGAUUCAUUAGUUUUUGCCAAAAUGUUUUUAAAUGCCUUGUCUAAAACUUGGAAGUUCUCCAUAUGAAUAUGUUGGCACCCUUCACAACUCAAUGGUUGCCUGUGAAUAUCUCCCAUUCCAGCUGAAGUUUGCCAGCAAAACCAAUCCAAUCACACUUCACCUUGGUGCUGGCAGACUAAAGCUGGAACUGUGACAAAAAAAGAAAGAAAAAAAAAGAAUUACUCCCACUCCCUGCAUAAUCACACUAAAUACAACAGACUUGAAAUACCAUUAUCUUACCAAUAUCUUCUCAUUUACACUUUUGAUACACCAUAUUUUUUAAGCUUUGUGUUACUAACUUCUAUUCUUAGCUUUACUAAUCAAUAAUUUUUUAUCCAGUUAUUAAUGACACUGCAUCUUGUUUUGUUUUGGUUUCUUUUUGGUAAGUCAAGUGUCCAACUAAUAUUUGCAGAAAAAGCUCAGAGCAUAUUUUCAGAUAUUAAAACUAAUGGAUUAUGACUUGUUUAUCAUGCUGCUGAUGUUUGUUCAUCAUUCUGUUUUCAUACUGGAUACACUUCUUACAAUAAGUCCUGUAGCAAUACUCAAACAGAGAGUCAUUUAAAACUCAAUGAGAAAUUAAUGUAGUUUUAUUUCUGUUAAAAAAAACAUAGACAGUUUGACUUGUAUUUUCUUUUUUACUGUUCUGAAAUGCUUAAGACUGAUACAAUAAAAAGAUGAAUUCUUA